GUUUAUUGUGGUCAUAGGAUGGAUGACGAAAGUCAAGAUAGUAAUUCCUUGAUCCAAGAGACGAUGGACUCUAGCGAGGAGUACACAGACAGUGAGAUGAUAAGAGAUUUGUUAGUUAGGAAUGACGACUUAAAUGUUAGAGCUGAGCAAGCGGAGGCACGGAAUCGUACUCUCCAGAUUUCGGAACAGCAGUACAAGGACGCUGCUGACCG
Molecule: long non-coding RNA, 212 nt
Filed under: Panax ginseng (ginseng)
Lineage: Eukaryota; Viridiplantae; Streptophyta; Magnoliopsida; Apiales; Araliaceae
Description: long non-coding RNA (PGIN_LNC003942)
Source: RNAcentral